GACGAACGCUGGCGGCGUGCUUAACACAUGCAAGUCGAACGGGCCCGCUCUCUUUUUUGGGGGUGGGUUGCGUGGCGAACGGGUGAGUAUCACGUGAGUAACCUGCCCCCUGCUCCUGGAUAACUGCUUGAAAGGGCGGCUAAUACGGGGUGUGCCGGCUGUUCCGCAUGGGCCUGGUCGGGAUAGUUUCAUCUUCGGGUGUUUCGGUGGGUGAUGGGCUCGCGGCCUAUCAGCUUGUUGGUGGGGUGAUGGCCCACCAAGGCGGUGACGGGUCGCCGGCAUGAGAGGGUGGGCGGCCACACUGGGACUGGGACACGGCGCAGACGCCGGCGGGAGGCAGCAGUGGGGGGUAUUGCACAAGGGGCGGAAGCCUGAUGCAGCGACGUCGCGUGAGGGAUGGAGGCCUUCGGGUUGUGAACCUCUUUCUCCGGUGGUGAAGGCCCUGUCCGUUGCGGCGGGGUUGACGGUAGCCGGGGAUGAAGCGCCGGCUAACUACGUG
This 499-nucleotide ribosomal RNA is filed under the name uncultured bacterium. RNAcentral describes it as "partial 16S ribosomal RNA". It matches the Rfam family "Bacterial small subunit ribosomal RNA", at positions 28 to 507 of the family's 1533-position model. The record is from RNAcentral.